Molecule: ribosomal RNA, 505 nt
Filed under: uncultured bacterium
Lineage: Bacteria
Description: partial 16S ribosomal RNA
Rfam family: Bacterial small subunit ribosomal RNA
Source: RNAcentral
GACGAACGCUGGCGGCGUGCCUAAUACAUGCAAGUAGAACGCACAGUUUAUACCGUAGCUUGCUACACCAUAAACUGUGAGUUGCGAACGGGUGAGUAACGCGUAGGUAACCUGCCUGGUAGCGGGGGAUAACUAUUGGAAACGAUAGCUAAUACCGCAUAAUAUUGAUUAUUGCAUGAUAAUUGAUUGAAAGAUGCUAUUGCAUCACUACCAGAUGGACCUGCGUUGUAUUAGCUAGUAGGUGAGGUAACGGCUCACCUAGGCGACGAUACAUAGCCGACCUGAGAGGGUGAUCGGCCACACUGGGACUGAGACACGGCCCAGACUCCUACGGGAGGCAGCAGUAGGGAAUCUUCGGCAAUGGACGAAAGUCUGACCGAGCAACGCCGCGUGAGUGAAGAAGGUUUUCGGAUCGUAAAGCUCUGUUGCAAGAGAAGAACGGGUGUGAGAGUGGAAAGUUCACACUGUGACGGUAGCUUACCAGAAAGGGACGGCUAACUACGUG